UUCAUUUUACUCGACCCAGAUGCAAUGGUCGAUACUGGGCCUACUGCUCGGCGAUUUUCCCAGAGCGCAGAAAGUGAUUAUACCAAUUCGUCUGAAUCUGAUGUAAUAUUUGUUUUGGAUAGAAUAUUUGAGAGGGGAUGCGGGCCAUUUAAAGUAAGAGUUGAACAAGUUUUGCAGUCUCAAUCUAGUCUCAUAACUGCGUAUAAACUUAGCAAUACACUGGAGUUCUACUGCUACACUUGGAUUGAAGCUAUUUGGAUCCCUUGUUACCUUCUUGAAGAGUAAGGAUGCAAGUGAUGUUUCAGAGCAGGCAUUGAUAUCUGAAUUGUCUGCAUUGAAUGAACACCUUAAAGCCCAUACUAAGUAGUGUCCUGCACCAGGCUGUGAGUUUGCACUGCGAGUUGCUGAAUGUUUUGACAACCCUGGGAAUUUCGGUAACCAGUUCGCUUCAUAUCUAUUGCAUUUCAUAUAGAUUAUAGACAUAGUUGCUAGGAUAUUUGUAUGCAGCUAGAAUACACAGAGGAUGACUAUCAGCAGGAGCUUGAGCACAUUGAGCAGGUCAGUUUAACUUGUAUCUUGUGGUAGUUAACCUGUUAAGGUAAAUUCCCUCAAACCCUACAUUUAUUGCUUACAAUUAGAUAUGUUAAGUAUUGUCCCAAACUAUGCAUAGGAUACUGUGAUUUGCCUUAAGAAUUCCAUGGGGAUGCAUGCAGAAUGCAUACAACAGUCCAUUUGUGACUAGACAAUUACAAGGUUUUUUAGCUAAUUGAGAUUCUGGACUUUGUAUUUACCUAUAUGAGAAAAGAGAAAGAAAUAGAGAAAAACAUUACAGUUAAGCUGGACCGAUGACGAACUGAUAUUCUUAAUAUCUUUCUUUUUAUGUAGGUUGAAGUUCUUGUCCUUAAUGGAAGCAACACUGCCAUUCCAAGGUAGUGUGAACGAUUUUUAGCACAUAUCAAGCAGCUACUGGUGCACGUGCUACUACUGCAGUGGAAGAGUUUGAAUUCCAGUUUGUUAUUGAUCUUAUUAAUCAGUGACCAAGGUCCAAGACUGAACAAGGAAAAGUAACUCAAUGCUCACUGGUGUAUGUAUUUUUUUUUCUGUUGUUACUUCCCAUUCCUUUUCAGAGGUAUACAGAAUAACUUUUUAGUGAAGAUUUCAUGAAUUUUUUAAGUUCAAUGAUAGUUUUUAGAAUUUAAUGUAUGAAAUGAUCAUGUUAUACCU
Long non-coding RNA from Papaver somniferum (opium poppy), 1224 nucleotides. RefSeq lists it as uncharacterized. Lineage: Eukaryota; Viridiplantae; Streptophyta; Magnoliopsida; Ranunculales; Papaveraceae. The transcript is spliced from 5 exons. The record is from RefSeq and is a predicted model, not a curated record.